UGCAGUCGAGCGCGAAUAGGGGCAACCCUUAGUAGAGCGGCGCACGGGUGCGUAACACGUGGAUAAUCUGCCUGGAUGCUCGGGAUAACCAGUCGAAAGAUUGGCUAAUACCGGAUAAGCCCACGGUUUCUUCGGAGACUGAGGGAAAAGGUGGCCUCUGUAUACAAGCUAUCACAACCAGAUGAGUCCGCGGCCCAUCAGCUAGUUGGCGGGGUAAUGGCCCACCAAGGCAACGACGGGUAGCUGGUCUGAGAGGACGAUCAGCCACACUGGAACUGAGACACGGUCCAGACUCCUACGGGAGGCAGCAGUGGGGAAUUUUGCGCAAUGGGCGAAAGCCUGACGCAGCAACGCCGCGUGUGUGAUGAAGGUCUUUGGAUUGUAAAGCACUUUCGACCGGGAAGAAAACCCGUUGGCUAACAUCCAACGGCUUGACGGUACCGGGAGAAGAAGCACCGGCUAACUCUGUGCCAGCAGCCGCGGUAAUACAGAGGGUGCAAGCGUUGUUCGGAAUUAUUGGGCGUAAAGCGCGUGUAGGCGGCGUGACAAGUCGGGUGUGAAAGCCCUCAGCUCAACUGAGGAAGUGCGCCCGAAACUGUCGUGCUUGAGUGCCGGAGAGGGUGGCGGAAUUC
Molecule: ribosomal RNA, 632 nt
Filed under: Myxococcus sp.
Lineage: Bacteria; Pseudomonadati; Myxococcota; Myxococcia; Myxococcales; Myxococcaceae
Description: bacterial SSU rRNA
Rfam family: Bacterial small subunit ribosomal RNA
Source: RNAcentral